This 73-nucleotide transfer RNA is filed under the name Marmota marmota marmota (Alpine marmot). It matches the Rfam family "tRNA". Rfam says of the family: Transfer RNA (tRNA) molecules are approximately 80 nucleotides in length. Their secondary structure includes four short double-helical elements and three loops (D, anti-codon, and T loops). Lineage: Eukaryota; Metazoa; Chordata; Mammalia; Rodentia; Sciuridae. RNAcentral also lists the same sequence under 2 other names. The record is from Rfam by way of RNAcentral.
GGGGAUAUAGCUCAGUUGGUAGAGUGCUUGCCUAGCAUACACAUGGACCUGGGUUCAAUCCCCAGCACCACCA